UGUUUGUUCUCUCUCCCCUGCCACCUGCCUCUUCCCUGCUGUGGAGCAGGCAAGGAGAGGGUGAAGGGAGGGCCAGCAAG
This is a microRNA precursor of Mesocricetus auratus (golden hamster), 80 nucleotides long. NCBI's taxonomy places the organism in Eukaryota, Metazoa, Chordata, Mammalia, Rodentia, Cricetidae. The record is from Ensembl.